UACAUCAAGUAAAAGAGCAGUUUUUUCCUAUCGGUGCUCUCUUUUUUUAUUAAAAAAACGGAACAUGUUUGCGCCCGUAAGAGGGGAGCGAGAGGGGUCAGAGUCUUACCCGUGGGCGCUCUCAAAAGGAGGAGAGCUAGUGGGGAUAACUAGCGACCCAUAGCAGUAGCCCUAUGAGGAUAGGAAAGAAGGGGGGGGGGGGAGGAAGGUCCCACCGAGAUACUCAGAAGGGCUACCAGCCGAGAUACUCAGCCGCGAUGAGAGGGAAGGGAGAGAAAGAGAGAAAGCAUCCCAACCGAGAAACUCAGUCGGGUCUGAAGGAGAGAAAAGAGAGUCCUCAGCCGAGAUACUCAGCCGAGAUGGAAGAGAGAGAGAGAGAGAGUCUCAGCCGAGAUGCUCAGCCGAGAUGGAAGAGAGAGAGAGAGAGAGUCUCAGCCGAGAUGCUCAGCCGAGAUGAAAGAGAGAGAGAGAGAGAGUCUCAGCCGAGAUGCUCAGCCGAGAUGAAGGAGAGAGAGAGAAAGAGUCUCAGCCGAGAUGCUCAGCCGAGAUGAAAGAGAGAGAGAAAGAAAAUCCCACCGAGAUACUCAGAAGGGCUACCAGCCGAGAUACUCAGCCGCGUUGAGAAGAAAAAGAGAAGAAAGAGAAAUCUUCCCAACCGAGAAACUCAGUCGGGUCAAGAGAAAGAGAGAGGUCCCAGCCGAGGUACUCAGCCGGGUAAAGAGAGAGAGAGAGAGAGAGAGAGCGAAAGGAAGCUCUAGGUGUUCCCGCCAGCCGAGGUACUCAGCCGGUGAGGGAAGGACAAGGAAGAGUCCAACUUGCUUUGCAGCGUAGAGAGAGGAUCUUGAUCAGGAGCGAAAGCAGAGAACUUAACUGAUCAAGCUGCGGUGAUCGAAUGAUGAUCGCACGCCUGGCGGCUGCCUUUUAUAGACGACACGCGUGGACGCGUCGGACGCGGCCGGGAGCCGCGCCGUGGGUCGGACGGACCCACGUGGCGUGUCACGUGAUCGUGAUUACGUGAUCGUGUUUACGACUGAUCGCCGGAUCGCGGUAGCGUGGCCACCAGGUAGUGCGCAUAGGUGCCG
RNAcentral lists this long non-coding RNA (1082 nucleotides) under Bemisia tabaci. RNAcentral's name for it is "lncRNA ENSSSA1UGG002662". The record is from RNAcentral. Lineage: Eukaryota; Metazoa; Arthropoda; Insecta; Hemiptera; Aleyrodidae.